CACGUAUGAGACGAGCGUUAUCCGGAUUUACUGGGCGUAAAGCGCGUGCAGGCGGUUCGGCAAGUUGGAUGUGAAAGCUCCCGGCUUAACUGGGAGAGGUCGUUCAAUACUACCGGACUUGAGAGUGGUAGAGGGAGGUGGAAUUCCGGGUGUAGUGGUGACAGGCGUAGAUAUCCGGAGGAACACCAGUGGCGAAAGCGGCCUCAUGGACCACUUCGGAAGCGCAGACGCGCAAGCUAGGGUAGCGCACGGGAGGCGAUAACAGCGGAGUCC
This 273-nucleotide ribosomal RNA is filed under the name uncultured bacterium. RNAcentral's name for it is "partial 16S ribosomal RNA". It matches the Rfam family "Bacterial small subunit ribosomal RNA", at positions 524 to 796 of the family's 1533-position model. The record is from RNAcentral.